AGCGAACGCUGGCGGCAGGCCUAACACAUGCAAGUCGAACGGAUCCUUCGGGAUUAGUGGCGGACGGGUGAGUAACACGUGGGAACGUGCCCUUUGGUUCGGCACAACUCAGGGAAACUUGAGCUAAUACCGGAUGUGCCCUUCGGGGGACAGAUUUAUCGCCAUUGGAGCGGCCCGCGUCUGAUUAGCUAGUUGGUGAGGUAAAGGCUCACCAAGGCGACGAUCAGUAGCUGGUCUGAGAGGAUGAUCAGCCACAUUGGGACUGAGACACGGCCCAAACUCCUACGGGAGGCAGCAGUGGGGAAUCUUGCGCAAUGGGCGAAAGCCUGACGCAGCCAUGCCGCGUGAAUGAUGAAGGUCUUAGGAUUGUAAAAUUCUUUCGCCGGGGACGAUAAUGACGGUACCCGGAGAAGAAGCCCCGGCUAACUUCGUGCCAGCCGCCGCGGUAA
Molecule: ribosomal RNA, 449 nt
Filed under: uncultured bacterium
Lineage: Bacteria
Description: partial 16S ribosomal RNA
Rfam family: Bacterial small subunit ribosomal RNA
Source: RNAcentral